UUCUGGGAUAGCUCAGUCAGCAGAGCAUGAAACUCUUAACCUCAGGGUUGUGGGUUUGAGUCCCACAUGGGGGGGGGGAAU
Podarcis lilfordi (Lilford's wall lizard) is the source of this 81-nucleotide non-coding RNA. The record is from the annotation of a GenBank genome assembly. NCBI's taxonomy places the organism in Eukaryota, Metazoa, Chordata, Lepidosauria, Squamata, Lacertidae.